ACGAACGUUGGCGGCGUGCUUAAUACAUGCAAGUCAACUGAAGCAGUGGUAGCAAUAUCGCUGUGGAGGUGGCGCACGGGUGAGUAACACGUAGGUAAUCUGCCUUCAGGUCUGGCAUAACUCCGGGAAACCGGGGCUAAUAGCAGAUGAUGCAGCGGCUCGACAUCGAGACAGUUGUUAAAGCUAUGGCGCCUGAAGAUGAGCCUGCGUCUGAUUAGCUAGUUGGCGGGGUAACGGCCCACCAAGGCAACGAUCAGUAGCUGGUCUGAGAGGAUGAUCAGCCACACUGGAACUGAGACACGGUCCAGACUCCUACGGGAGGCAGCAGUAAGGAAUAUUGCUCAAUGGGAGAAAUCCUGAAGCAGCAACGCCGCGUGAGGGACGAAGGGCUUUUGCUUGUAAACCUCUGUAGUAAGAGAAAAAAAUCCCAAUCUUUGGGACAUGAUGGUAUCUCAAAAGUAAGCCCCGGCUAACUACGUG
This 480-nucleotide ribosomal RNA is filed under the name uncultured bacterium. RNAcentral describes it as "partial 16S ribosomal RNA". It matches the Rfam family "Bacterial small subunit ribosomal RNA", at positions 29 to 507 of the family's 1533-position model. The record is from RNAcentral.